This 1136-nucleotide long non-coding RNA is filed under the name Fragaria vesca (wild strawberry). RNAcentral's name for it is "long non-coding RNA (FVES_LNC003204)". Lineage: Eukaryota; Viridiplantae; Streptophyta; Magnoliopsida; Rosales; Rosaceae. The record is from RNAcentral.
UCUUUUCUUCGUCUCUGCCUCUUUUUCGUUCUUGCCCUUUUCGAAAGGAGAAGAGAGAUCGCUUCCUCCGGUCUUCUGAUGAGAAGAGAGAUCACUUCCUUGACCGAUCAGUUCAAUCCCUCUUUUUUCUAUGCGCUCUCUGUUCUUCGUCUCUCUCUCUUCUUCUUUGCUCUCUCUUUUCCGAUUGAACUGAUCGGUCUGAUCCAUUAUCGGACAUAAUAUGGAGUAUACUGAGCUUCGUUGAUGCACGCAGCGGAGUACUCUCCCUCCAAGGGCCUCCUUGUCUCCCAUGCCUGUAACUCUUCUUCCCUCAAUUUUUUUCAUUUUCUAAUUCCCUUGGAUUUUGAUUUUGAUGUAUGAUUUCGAUAUUUGAGACUUGGGGUGUGAUUUUGUUUUUUCUUUAUAUUGUCUCUUCUUUUUGGGUUGAUUUCGAUAUGAAGAAUUAAGCAAAUGAUGAAUCGAGAUUGUUAUAAGUCUAAAUCGAAGUUGUCUCUGUACGAUGAUCUGUUUGAAUAUACUCCUAAUAAGUUAUAACUAAUAACUAAUAAACCUUGGAACUUUUCUAAAGCCACUGUUGUGAGAUUUUGUUUUCUUGGUUCAAUUGCUUCCUUGAUCAAAUGAAUAAGGUAGUCUAUGUUGAGGAGUAGUACUUUUCAUGUCACACCACAGCUAGACCACCUGGUUUAGGAAAAAAAUGUUCAAUAUACGUGUACGUCUAGAGAAUAUAGGCUGUUGUAAGGUUUCAUAAGUCAUAAGUCAUAAUACCUGAACCUGAACUACAAGUAAUUAGUCAUAACAGAGAAUCAUAUAUUAUUGACCUUCCUAUGAAGUAAUUCAGGUUUUCAUGGUGCCUGCUGUAUGCUACUUCUGCACUGAAUCCGGUUUUUUAAAUUCCUUUGCACCUUUUCUGACUCCUAAAAUAGAGCAUAUACUUUAAUGAAAGAUGUAAGAAGUGGUGCAAGAAAAUACUUGAGGGCAGAAAGCUACAAGUAAAACACAUAAAGAUCCUACCUCAACCAGAAGCAAACUUUGGUCAUGGUUUUUUUUCGCACAGCUACCUGUAUUGUAUAUAAUGGGAAGCUUCUACUUUUACAAAGAUAAGAAUGAGUAUAAUAGUUUAAGUAUUUCAUCUAUUU